Molecule: long non-coding RNA, 1113 nt
Organism: Monomorium pharaonis (pharaoh ant)
Lineage: Eukaryota; Metazoa; Arthropoda; Insecta; Hymenoptera; Formicidae
Exons: 2
Source: RefSeq, a predicted model, not a curated record
AAAUAUUUUAAUGCGUUUUUAAAAUAAAUUUCUUUUGUGUUUUAUAACAACGUUCCUUAUAUAUAAAAAAGUCAUUUAAGUCGUAAAUGUUGAGUUUGCAAAAAGAGUUAAUAAAUAAUAGUAAUAAAUAAUAUGAUCUAAACAGUCCCUAACGAUCUGUCCCGUAAUACAUGGAUCUAGCUUAUCAGAAGUACAAAAUUCAAAAGUAUACUUAACGACGUUACUUUAAAUAAAAGUAUUUUAGUACUAUUAUGAAUUAUACAUGUAUGUAUAAACUAAGGUAUAAACAUAGUUUAGACAUGUAUAUAUAUACAUAUAGUUUAGAUAAAAUUUACGUAUAAAUUGAACGAAAUAUAUUACAGAACUGCGCACUACAGAGUCAAUAUCGAGUUAUUGAGUAAAUAUAAAGUAUUAUAACGUAUGUGUAGAUAUGUGUGCCAUAUUUACUGCUAAUCAAUUGUCGUCACUUUUUGAAUUAUCAAGAAGAAAAUGAUCGAAAUUUUGUGAGGUAGAAUUUAAAUGUAAAAGUAUAAAAUUCACAAAUUUUCCGAAUACCAAUAUCUCAUGAAUCUUUAAUUUUCAAGGGUAAAAAAGAAAUCUUCUCGAAAAUAUUUCUCGAUUUUUUCGCAGUAGUAAACACUUUGAAUUAAUAACGAUGAGGGUGCCGGAAGAAUUUUUUUUCAUGCUGACAGGUAAAAAAUUCUAGUAUUUAGUCUUUCGCGUUUAGCGACAUAUGCGAUAUUUUGUGUUUCACGUUCAGCACUAAGUAAUGUCUCAUUACGCGAAAAUAACGAGCGCAAUGGACGUGAGUGGCGUGACGGAAAAAUGAGACUCAGAAUCCUACUUAAUCACUCGCGUUAAAUGCACGAUAAUACGCGAGUGAAAGAGAGACAAGAGGAGCAGGAGGGGGAGAAUAUAAUGACAAUUGCGGUAUGGAACGUAUUUUAAAUUAUUUUCCGAGGAGAGGAAAGACGGUUUCUGAGCAUGCAUCAAUAUUAUUUAAUUGCUUGUCAAUUUAAUUUGUGUAAAUUACACAUUCUGGUUUCAUGUAAAAACUGUAUGUUAACAUUGACAAAAUUGCAGCGUGCAAUUCACGUGAGCUGGAGAUGGUAA